RNAcentral lists this ribosomal RNA (301 nucleotides) under uncultured bacterium. Its description in RNAcentral is "partial 16S ribosomal RNA". It matches the Rfam family "Bacterial small subunit ribosomal RNA", at positions 509 to 807 of the family's 1533-position model. The record is from RNAcentral.
CAGUAGCCGCGGGAAUACGUAGGUGGCAAGCGUUGUCCGGAAUUAUUGGGCGUAAAGGGCUCGCAGGCGGUUUCUUAAGUCUGAUGUGAAAGCCCCCGGCUCAACCGGGGAGGGUCAUUGGAAACUGGGAAACUUGAGUGCAGAAGAGGAGAGUGGAAUUCCACGUGUAGCGGUGAAAUGCGUAGAGAUGUGAAGGAACACCAGUGGCGAAGGCGACUCUCUGGUCUGUAACUGACGCUGAGGAGCGAAAGCGUGGGGAGCGAACAGGAUUAGAUACCCCCGUAGUCCCUGUCUCUUAUAC